UCGUGCUUUGCGGGGCUUGUCAUGGCUUUGCAAUGUUGGCACAGGCAACAACACAUGGCUGCGCAUCACGUGUUGGGGCUGGUGUUGGCUUUGUAUCGGUGAGGCAAGUGUACGUGCGGCACGUGAGUGGUGUUCGGCUUGUGUGGCUAGGUUGGAUCCCUGCUCGAUCAGCGACGUCCUAGCUCGCAUGCCAUCUCAGUCAUGUCACAAGCGCAAAUUAGGCUUGUUCUACGUCGGUUUUCUGUGUUGCAUACCUAAUGCCAAGGCAUUAUCAAGCACAAUCGGUCGCCUUUCGCCCCUCGCGUUCGAUGUGCGGGGUGAACCAAAAGCUGCAAUUGUGUCCCAGGUCGUCCUAGCUUCGCCUUGCGAUGGCUUAGUCCACGACUUAGCAUGCUCAGGCUCUCGGAUUCGGUAAACGCAAUGGGCACGGGGCCUUCAUUGGCUUCUAUCUGCCCA
Molecule: long non-coding RNA, 456 nt
Filed under: Nicotiana benthamiana
Lineage: Eukaryota; Viridiplantae; Streptophyta; Magnoliopsida; Solanales; Solanaceae
Description: long non-coding RNA (NBEN_LNC010048)
Source: RNAcentral